AAGGAGACCUAGUACAUAGCAAGUGCCAAAUAAACAUUGAGUGGCAAAAAAGAGGGAAAGCAAUGUAAGUCAUCCUAAGAGAGCACACAGAGCAGGAGGGGUAGAAACCAGCCCCGGGGAGGGCAAGGUCCCCACUGGCGAGGUUGCAGACGGGGUGAACAGGGAUGGCAGGACACGGGAAAGCGCAGGCCCCGGGAAGGGGGACGCCAGGGCCCUAUGGCUGCAGGCAAACCUUGGGCCUGGCUUGGGAGUGGAAGUUCCGGCAGCAUCUUGCUCGGCCCUCUUUGCACAUUUGCCCCGUGUGAUUCCUGCGGGCCAGGGUGGGCGCGGCACUCCCUGCACCCGACACAAGCGUUCUCUCGGCAGGCAUGGGCAAGAAGGACGACCCCAAGCUGAUGCAGGAGUGGUUCAAGCUAGUGCAGGAGAAGAACGCCAUGGUGCGCUACGAGUCGGAGCUGAUGAUCUUUGCCCGGGAGCUGGAGCUGGAAGACCGGCAGAGUCGACUGCAGCAGGAGCUCCGGGAACGCAUGGCAGUGGAAGAUCACCUUAAGACUGAGGAGGAGCUGUCAGAAGAGAAGCAGAUUCUCAAUGAGAUGCUGGAGGUGGUGGAGCAGAGAGACUCACUGGUGGCGCUGCUGGAGGAGCAGCGGCUCCGGGAGAGAGAGGAGGACAAGGACCUGGAGGCUGCCAUGUUGUCCAAGGGCUUCAGCCUUAACUGGUCCUGAGCUCCCACCCAACGCUCCAUUUUCUGUUGGCAUCCGCCUGGCCAGGCAGUGGCAUCCAAACCACCCGGAGCCUCGAUCUGAGGAGGCCUGGCACCUCCUUGGAGUUUAUGCUCAGAUGCCCGUGUGCUGCUUGGAAAGUGGUCGAGUCCCGCGUGCAGUGGGGAGCCCCAGGUGACAGUGGUUAUCUGAGAC
This 917-nucleotide small RNA is filed under the name Pan troglodytes (chimpanzee). RNAcentral's name for it is "retained intron". The record is from RNAcentral. Lineage: Eukaryota; Metazoa; Chordata; Mammalia; Primates; Hominidae.